CCCCUGACUUGAAACUGUGUAGUGGAUGCGUGGAUGAUAUGUGUAUCGUUUGGAAGGAUCGUGGUCGUGGCGAUUGUAUUGCUGAUGUGCUCGCUGAUGCCGCAUUGGGGCUCUCUGCUGGGCUUGAGCGGUCCGGUGCUGAGGGAUUCCAUUUUUUGGAUGUCGGGGUGCUUGUUGAAAGGGGUGAGUAUGUGACAGAUAUAUGUGGGAGACCGACUUGUGGCCCGAUUGUUGUUCCAGCUUGGUCUGGGGACCCGCCCGCGUGUGGGGCUGCGGCGUUCGGGGCCCUCUUCUCUGGGAU
RNAcentral lists this long non-coding RNA (301 nucleotides) under Androctonus crassicauda. Lineage: Eukaryota; Metazoa; Arthropoda; Arachnida; Scorpiones; Buthidae. The record is from RNAcentral.